RNAcentral lists this ribosomal RNA (206 nucleotides) under uncultured bacterium. Its description in RNAcentral is "partial 16S ribosomal RNA". It matches the Rfam family "Bacterial small subunit ribosomal RNA", at positions 1286 to 1500 of the family's 1533-position model. The record is from RNAcentral.
UCUCAGUUCGGAUCGGAGUCUGNAACCCGACUCCGUGAAGCUGGAUUCGCUAGUAAUCGCGCAUCAGCCAUGGCGCGGUGAAUACGUUCCCGGGCCUUGUACACACCGCCCGUCACACCAUGGAAGUUGGGGGUGCCCAAAGUCGGUUAGAAAAUAAACUGCCUAAGGCAAAACCAAUGACUGGGGUGAAGUCGUAACAAGGUAAC